GAUUGUACAAUAUUAGUAUUCAUGAUCUUAUUCUCAAUAGCUCUAUUCUUAUUAAAUAAUAUUAAAGGUAAAGAUAAUUCGGGUGGAUCAAAGUGAUCAGUGUUGCCCUCCCUGCAAAAAUUUACGGGUGAGAAAAUCAGGAAGAUGGAUAGCAGAACCUUUUACAUGUUCAAUAGAGAAAUCGAAAGAAGAUAAAAUGGCCUGCCAAUGGAUAAACCAACAACAAAAUUUUCUUUCCAAUGGUCGAGAUGACUAUCUUCUCGUGUUAAGAGUCUAAAAAGGAAAACAUCCUUAUACCAUUUAUAAUGAGAUAGUGUUGGGCAUCUUAAAUUAGAAAGUAGAUCUUCAGAUCGAGCUUCCAUUAAUGCAGUACUCCCCACAAAGUGAAGUGUUAUAGUAUAAAUGAG
Molecule: long non-coding RNA, 407 nt
Filed under: Amborella trichopoda
Lineage: Eukaryota; Viridiplantae; Streptophyta; Magnoliopsida; Amborellales; Amborellaceae
Description: long non-coding RNA (ATRI_LNC002165)
Source: RNAcentral